This 486-nucleotide ribosomal RNA is filed under the name Opius sp. RAW-2006. Its description in RNAcentral is "eukaryotic LSU rRNA". The record is from RNAcentral. Lineage: Eukaryota; Metazoa; Arthropoda; Insecta; Hymenoptera; Braconidae.
CAAGAGUACGUGAAACCGUUCAGGGGUAAACCUGAGAAACCCAAAAGAUCGAAUGGGGAGAUUCAUCGUCAGCUCAUUUUGUAUAUAUAUGAGUUAUGAUAUGGGUUACUACUUGUAGUAUUGCCUGUACAUUCUUGUAUAUUUCAUUGCAAGAUGUUGUCGGCGUGCACUUCUCCCCUAGUAGGACGUCGCGACCCGUUGAGUGUCGGUCUACGGCCCGAGUGGUAGCCUUUAAUUCUUGUAAUUAAAGACCCUUGGUGUUUCCUGACUGACUGCUCGGCGGUAUUCGUACGGUAUUAAGCCGCAUUUAUGCGUUCAUAUCCGUCGCAAGCGCGGUCAAUUUUUAGUAGUACGGACCUAGUGCCGUCGCUAUAAUUGAUCAGCUGUUGGUUGUACGGUAUUCUAGAACUGGCUUAAUAUAUACCGGUCUGCGAUGCUACUGCUUUGGGUACUUUCAGGACCCGUCUUGAAACACGGACCAAGUUG